RNAcentral lists this ribosomal RNA (901 nucleotides) under uncultured bacterium. RNAcentral's name for it is "bacterial SSU rRNA". It matches the Rfam family "Bacterial small subunit ribosomal RNA", at positions 505 to 1402 of the family's 1533-position model. The record is from RNAcentral.
GUUUCAGCAGCCGCGGUAAUACGUAGGGUGCGAGCGUUAUCCGGAAUUAUUGGGCGUAAAGAGCUCGUAGGCGGUUUGUCGCGUCUGUCGNGAAAGUCCGGGGCUUAACCCCGGAUCUGCGGUGGGUACGGGCAGACUAGAGUGCAGUAGGGGAGACUGGAAUUCCUGGUGUAGCGGUGGAAUGCGCAGAUAUCAGGAGGAACACCGAUGGCGAAGGCAGGUCUCUGGGCUGUAACUGACGCUGAGGAGCGAAAGCAUGGGGAGCGAACAGGAUUAGAUACCCUGGUAGUCCAUGCCGUAAACGUUGGGCACUAGGUGUGGGGACCAUUCCACGGUUUCCGCGCCGCAGCUAACGCAUUAAGUGCCCCGCCUGGGGAGUACGGCCGCAAGGCUAAAACUCAAAGGAAUUGACGGGGGCCCGCACAAGCGGCGGAGCAUGCGGAUUAAUUCGAUGCAACGCGAAGAACCUUACCAAGGCUUGACAUGUUCUCGAUCGCCGUAGAGAUACGGUUUCCCCUUUGGGGCGGGUUCACAGGUGGUGCAUGGUUGUCGUCAGCUCGUGUCGUGAGAUGUUGGGUUAAGUCCCGCAACGAGCGCAACCCUCGUUCCAUGUUGCCAGCACGUCGUGGUGGGGACUCAUGGGAGACUGCCGGGGUCAACUCGGAGGAAGGUGAGGACGACGUCAAAUCAUCAUGCCCCUUAUGUCUUGGGCUUCACGCAUGCUACAAUGGCCGGUACAAUGGGUUUCGAUACUGUGAGGUGGAGCUAAUCCCAAAAAGCCGGUCUCAGUUCGGAUUGGGGUCUGCAACUCGACCCCAUGAAGUCGGAGUCGCUAGUAAUCGCAGAUCAGCAACGCUGCGGUGAAUACGUUCCCGGGCCUUGUACACACCGCCCGUCAAAC